RNAcentral lists this transfer RNA (65 nucleotides) under Laurentaeglyphea neocaledonica. RNAcentral's name for it is "tRNA-Asn". The record is from RNAcentral. Lineage: Eukaryota; Metazoa; Arthropoda; Malacostraca; Decapoda; Glypheidae.
UUAGUAGAAGCCAAAAUAGAGGCUAAUCACUGUUAAUGAUUUUAAUGAAAUUUUUUCCUACUAAA